UGGGGAAUAUUGGACAAUGGGCGCAAGUCUGAUCCAGCCAUGCCGCGUUAGUGAUGAAGGCCCUAGGGUUGUAAAGCUCUUUCACCGGUGAAGAUAAUGACGGUAACCGGAGAAGAAGCCCCGGCUAACUUCGUGCCAGCAGCCGCGGUAAUACGAAGGGGGCUAGCGUUGUUCGGAUUUACUGGGCGUAAAGCGCACGUAGGCGGACUUUUAAGUCAGGGGUGAAAUCCCGGGGCUCAACCCCGGAACUGCCUUUGAUACUGGAAGUCUUGAGUAUGGUAGAGGUGAGUGGAAUUCCGAGUGUAGAGGUGAAAUUCGUAGAUAUUCGGAGGAACACCAGUGGCGAAGGCGGCUCACUGGACCAUUACUGACGCUGAGGUGCGAAAGCGUGGGGAGCAAACAGG
Molecule: ribosomal RNA, 404 nt
Filed under: Actinomycetes bacterium
Lineage: Bacteria; Bacillati; Actinomycetota; Actinomycetes
Description: Actinobacteria bacterium partial 16S ribosomal RNA
Rfam family: Bacterial small subunit ribosomal RNA
Source: RNAcentral